CAUGGCCGUCUGUCAAGUGAGUUAGCGCAUCUCGCGCAUGUAAGGUUGCAAACUUUUUUUGACGCAUUCGGCAGGGAAGUCCCCUACCUAUUUUUUUUUCAUUUUAUUGAUAUAUGUACAAAGAAUAAAGAAUACAAAGGCCUUCAAGGCCCAAAACAAAAAAUACAGAGGAAGCUAGAGCCUAUUCUCAAUAUAUAAUGCCGGGUAACCGGAUCUUAAAAAAAAGGUAAAAUGGCGCGUUGAUUCUAAACUUUGCAUGUAUGUUGAAGAAUUUACCAAAGUGCAAUUCCAAAAAUUGAUUGGUUUUGAGAUCUAGAGCUAUACACAGCUGAGUACAAUUUAGAUAAAAAUCAUUUUCUAGAUAUUUAUGUAAUCCAGAGUGCUUGUAACAUGCUUAUGUAUCCAGCUAUUAUUUAAUAUAAUUCUUCUUUCGUCACAAAAAAAUAAAAAAAUGAAGAUUUUAUGUGGCACAAGUCCACAAGUAGAGCGAGGUAACAAUGGCGCACUGUACUAACUGAAGCAUAUGUGUUCCACGCAUGGUUUAGUAUGUUCAGUACACUUUAUCAUUUUAAGUUUUUAUUUAUUUGUCAUCACAUAUUGUGGCAAAUAAUGAUAAAAUAAUUAUUAAACAAAGAGUAGCGUUUGAGGCAACAGCAACAACCAAGCUCGUGUCCAUUUAUAUUUAUAUACCAAAUUUUUUAAAAAAGAGAAACCAAGAAGCAAGAGAUUACCUUGAAGAUGUCGAGGUGGUCC
This 753-nucleotide long non-coding RNA is filed under the name Sorghum bicolor (sorghum). RNAcentral describes it as "long non-coding RNA (SBIC_LNC005519)". The record is from RNAcentral. Lineage: Eukaryota; Viridiplantae; Streptophyta; Magnoliopsida; Poales; Poaceae.